RNAcentral lists this long non-coding RNA (1396 nucleotides) under Mus musculus (house mouse). RNAcentral describes it as "predicted gene 9921". The record is from RNAcentral. Lineage: Eukaryota; Metazoa; Chordata; Mammalia; Rodentia; Muridae.
AUUGCAUGUUUACCAAUUAAGCCACGCAGGCACAGCGGAAACCGCUUCCCACAACUCUCUGCCAUUUUUCCAUGAACUAUUUGCCAUUUAAGGAAAUGACUACUAACUAUUACUCAUUCAAAACCCUAACAGAUGGUGUUCCAAACAACUUUUACGGAAGGUGUGAUGUGUUCUAACCUCCCAGCUCUUAGGCUGUCACCAUCAGUCUGGGGUAGAAGUGUGACAGCCUACUGCUGUGGGAGGCCAGCCAAGCUGAAGAGAAAGACUGCCUAUGGGGAAGGCAUUACUAAUGGAUGCAUGAUCUGCCCUUACUUUUCUUGUUCUCUCUUGCUCAGCAUUUAUACACCCUUACUGACUCUGCCUUUGGAAUACUGGUGCUUUUUUGCACCACAGAAAUUAAAGAUUUGGCAAGUUGAAGUCCCAUCCUCCAGCCCAGAAGUUGUGUUUCUUGAACUGUAAUCUUGGAUUCUUACUACUCAACUUUCCUAUAGAGCAGCAAUAUUUUAUUUUGUCAAACAAAUUGAUGGAAUGUGGCUGAAACUUUCUAGAAGACAUGCCUGCUUGGCCAUAGGCUGAUUAGAACUUCAAUGAUUUUAGAAGGUUUAGAGUGUUACAAAUCCAGAUCUAAAUAUCCUGGGCCAAUCACUAGCUCCUAUAGCUGUUUGCUACCCUCCUCUACUUGGAUUGUACAAAUAAAACACUAACUUCCACUAACCAAGGGGCUAAGAGAACAGUCAGGUAACACUUGGGGCCCAUAGCCCAGAUACUCCUGCUCUUAUAGACUGGCUAUUUAAUGUUUCUGCUAAUAUAUUUUAAAGGUGCUUUGAUUUAUGUUUCUCUUUACUAUGUUACUUUGAAAUAUCAUGUAACAUGGUAUUUGGGAAAAGCCAGUCCCUCAAUUUAGCUUCAGAAUGCACUACUUUUAUUACCAUUGAGGUGAGAGUUGUGUUUUGUAUUGAUGGGAUGGCUGUAAAUACAUUUAAAAAACAAUGUUGAACACACGAAUGCAUGCACCAAUGCAGCAAGAUCUUAAAUUAACUGUAGCAGAUAAGGAAAUAUCAAUUUGAUUGCCUCUAUCUAAAAAGAUAGUGGAAGUCUAGUAGCAGAGGUAUAAUACAUAAAUUAAGAAUGCUGUAAGACUUCAUCUAGAAGACUGGAUACUUCUUUAUGGAAGAAGGCUACCUAUGCUUGUUUGAGUCAUGUAAAAAUUGUGGACUUGGUGGAUGAGUCUCCAAGUGGUGAAGACAUCAGGCAAGAAGGCAGGCAAAGAAGAUCUGAGAGAGCCUCCUGGAAGAAAAUGGAACAUGCCCUGCCUAUGAAUAACCAUUCAGCCUCAAUGCUCUGCUCAUCUCUCCUUUUACCUCAUUGGAAAUACACAUUGUUAUCAGAAACUCAA